This is a non-coding RNA of Etheostoma spectabile (orangethroat darter), 518 nucleotides long. Lineage: Eukaryota; Metazoa; Chordata; Actinopteri; Perciformes; Percidae. The record is from the annotation of a RefSeq genome assembly.
CAUCACACAACGCAGUGACACUCCUCCCUGCAGCUCUUCAUGCCUCUAUAGCUAGGCUGUGUGUGCCUCUGGCAGUUUGGGUCAAACAACAUGGAUCUCAGCAUGAUUAAAAGAGGCCUCCUCAGAUUAUCUGUCUUUUUGCUGUGGACUACAGGUGUCAUCAAUGGGACUGGUGUUACCCAGACCUCCACACUGUGGAAAAACACGGAUGAAAAGGCAACAAUGAACUGCAGCCAUACCAAGGGUGCUGGCUAUCACCAGAUGUACUGGUACAGACAGCUGCCAGGAGAAACAAUGAAACUAAUCGUGUUCACAAGAACCGCCAUUAAAGAUCAUGAUUUUGGAGUUUUCAGCAAAGAGAAAUUCUCAGCCACCAAGCCUGACGCUGAGAGUGGGACAUUCACAGUGAACAAUCUGGAGCCUGAAGAUAAAGGCUUGUAUUUCUGUGCUGUGAGUCAACACAGUGAUACAGAUGCAUUCAACAGCUGAACAAAAACCCCGGUGCAGCACUGUUAACA